CUACGGGACGCUGCAGUGGGGAAUAUUGGACAAUGGGGGAAACCCUGAUCCAGCAAUGCCGCGUGUGUGAAGAAGGCCUGCGGGUUGUAAAGCACUUUCGGUUGGGAGGACUGCUUCUAGCACUAAUAUUGUUGGAAGUUGACGUUACCUUCAGAAGAAGCACCGGCUAACUCCGUGCCAGCAGCCGCGGUAAUACGGAGGGUGCAAGCGGUAAUCGGAAUUACUGUGCGUAAAGCGCGCGUAGGCGGCUAGAUCAGUCGGGUGUGAAAGCCCCGGGCUUAACCUGGGAACUGCAUCCGAUACUGUCUAGCUUGAGUACAGGAGAGGAGAGUGGAAUUCCACAUGUAGCGGUGAAAUGCGUAGAUAUGUGGAGGAACACCAAUGGCGAAGGCAGCUCUCUGGCCUGAUACUGACGCUGAGGUGCGAAAGCGUGGGGAGCAAACAGGAUUAGAUACCCUUGUAGUC
RNAcentral lists this ribosomal RNA (465 nucleotides) under uncultured bacterium. RNAcentral's name for it is "partial 16S ribosomal RNA". It matches the Rfam family "Bacterial small subunit ribosomal RNA", at positions 339 to 795 of the family's 1533-position model. The record is from RNAcentral.